GACGAACGCUGGCGGCGUGCUUAACACAUGCAAGUCGAACGGAAAGGCCCUGCUUUUGUGGGGUGCUCGAGUGGCGAACGGGUGAGUAACACGUGAGUAACCUGCCCUUGACUUUGGGAUAACUUCAGGAAACUGGGGCUAAUACCGGAUAGGAGCUCCUGCUGCAUGGUGGGGGUUGGAAAGUUUCGGCGGUUGGGGAUGGACUGGCGGCUUAUCAGCUUGUUGGUGGGGUAGUGGCUUACCAAGGCUUUGACGGGUAGCCGGCCUGCGAGGGUGACCGGCCACAUUGGGACUGAGAUACGGCCCAGACUCCUACGGGAGGCAGCAGUGGGGAAUAUUGCACAAUGGGCGGAAGCCUGAUGCAGCAACGCCGCGUGCGGGAUGACGGCCUUCGGGUUGUAAACCGCUUUCGCCUGUGACGAAGCGUGAGUGACGGUAAUGGGUAAAGAAGCACCGGCUAACUACGUG
This 468-nucleotide ribosomal RNA is filed under the name uncultured bacterium. RNAcentral's name for it is "partial 16S ribosomal RNA". It matches the Rfam family "Bacterial small subunit ribosomal RNA", at positions 28 to 507 of the family's 1533-position model. The record is from RNAcentral.